RNAcentral lists this ribosomal RNA (478 nucleotides) under uncultured bacterium. Its description in RNAcentral is "bacterial SSU rRNA". It matches the Rfam family "Bacterial small subunit ribosomal RNA", at positions 28 to 507 of the family's 1533-position model. The record is from RNAcentral.
GAUGAACGCUGGCGGCGUGCUUAACACAUGCAAGUCGAGCGAGAAGCUUAAAGCUUCACCUUCGGGUGAAGAUUUAAGUGGAAAGCGGCGGACGGGUGAGUAACGCGUGGGUAACCUGCCCUAUACAGGGGGAUAACAGCGAGAAAUCGUUGCUAAUACCCCAUAAGACCUCAGUGACACAUGUUACAGAGGUAAAAACUCCGGUGGUAUAGGAUGGACCCGCGUCUGAUUAGCUAGUUGGUGAGGCAGAGGCUCACCAAGGCGACGAUCAGUAGCCGGCCUGAGAGGGCGGACGGCCACAUUGGGACUGAGACACGGCCCAAACUCCUACGGGAGGCAGCAGUGGGGAAUAUUGCACAAUGGGGGAAACCCUGAUGCAGCGACGCCGCGUGAAGGAAGAAGGUUUUCGGAUCGUAAACUUCUAUCAGCAGGGAAGAAAAUGACGGUACCUGACUAAGAAGCCCCGGCUAACUACGUG